This 1193-nucleotide ribosomal RNA is filed under the name Leuconostoc sp. RIC12-Oh005. Its description in RNAcentral is "bacterial SSU rRNA". It matches the Rfam family "Bacterial small subunit ribosomal RNA", at positions 159 to 1340 of the family's 1533-position model. The record is from RNAcentral. Lineage: Bacteria; Bacillati; Bacillota; Bacilli; Lactobacillales; Lactobacillaceae.
GAUGCUAAUACCGAAUAAAACUUAGUGUCGCAUGACACAAAGUUAAAAGGCGCUUCGGCGUCACCUAGAGAUGGAUCCGCGGUGCAUUAGUUAGUUGGUGGGGUAAAGGCCUACCAAGACAAUGAUGCAUAGCCGAGUUGAGAGACUGAUCGGCCACAUUGGGACUGAGACACGGCCCAAACUCCUACGGGAGGCUGCAGUAGGGAAUCUUCCACAAUGGGCGAAAGCCUGAUGGAGCAACGCCGCGUGUGUGAUGAAGGCUUUCGGGUCGUAAAGCACUGUUGUAUGGGAAGAACAGCUAGAAUAGGAAAUGAUUUUAGUUUGACGGUACCAUACCAGAAAGGGACGGCUAAAUACGUGCCAGCAGCCGCGGUAAUACGUAUGUCCCGAGCGUUAUCCGGAUUUAUUGGGCGUAAAGCGAGCGCAGACGGUUUAUUAAGUCUGAUGUGAAAGCCCGGAGCUCAACUCCGGAAUGGCAUUGGAAACUGGUUAACUUGAGUGCAGUAGAGGUAAGUGGAACUCCAUGUGUAGCGGUGGAAUGCGUAGAUAUAUGGAAGAACACCAGUGGCGAAGGCGGCUUACUGGACUGCAACUGACGUUGAGGCUCGAAAGUGUGGGUAGCAAACAGGAUUAGAUACCCUGGUAGUCCACACCGUAAACGAUGAACACUAGGUGUUAGGAGGUUUCCGCCUCUUAGUGCCGAAGCUAACGCAUUAAGUGUUCCGCCUGGGGAGUACGACCGCAAGGUUGAAACUCAAAGGAAUUGACGGGGACCCGCACAAGCGGUGGAGCAUGUGGUUUAAUUCGAAGCAACGCGAAGAACCUUACCAGGUCUUGACAUCCUUUGAAGCUUUUAGAGAUAGAAGUGUUCUCUUCGGAGACAAAGUGACAGGUGGUGCAUGGUCGUCGUCAGCUCGUGUCGUGAGAUGUUGGGUUAAGUCCCGCAACGAGCGCAACCCUUAUUGUUAGUUGCCAGCAUUCAGAUGGGCACUCUAGCGAGACUGCCGGUGACAAACCGGAGGAAGGCGGGGACGACGUCAGAUCAUCAUGCCCCUUAUGACCUGGGCUACACACGUGCUACAAUGGCGUAUACAACGAGUUGCCAACCCGCGAGGGUGAGCUAAUCUCUUAAAGUACGUCUCAGUUCGGAUUGUAGUCUGCAACUCGACUACAUGAAGUCGGAAUCGCUAGUA